This 475-nucleotide ribosomal RNA is filed under the name uncultured bacterium. Its description in RNAcentral is "bacterial SSU rRNA". It matches the Rfam family "Bacterial small subunit ribosomal RNA", at positions 28 to 502 of the family's 1533-position model. The record is from RNAcentral.
GAUGAACGCUGGCGGCGUGCCUAACACAUGCAAGUCGAACGGAGCUGCUUUGAUGAGAUCUUCGGAUGGAUUUAAAACAGCUUAGUGGCGGACGGGUGAGUAACGCGUGGGUAACCUGCCUCACACUGGGGGAUAACAGUUAGAAAUAGCUGCUAAUACCGCAUAAGCGCACGGUAUCGCAUGAUACAGUGUGAAAAACUCCGGUGGUAUAAGAUGGACCCGCGUCUGAUUAGCUAGUUGGUGAGGUAACGGCCCACCAAGGCGACGAUCAGUAGCCGGCCUGAGAGGGUGAACGGCCACAUUGGGACUGAGACACGGCCCAAACUCCUACGGGAGGCAGCAGUGGGGAAUAUUGCCACAAUGGGGGGAAACCCUGAUGCAGCGACGCCGCGUGAGUGAUGAAGUAUUUCGGUAUGUAAAACUCUAUCAGCAGGGAAGAUAAUGACGGUACCUGACUAAGAAGCACCGGCUUAAA